RNAcentral lists this ribosomal RNA (253 nucleotides) under uncultured bacterium. RNAcentral describes it as "partial 16S ribosomal RNA". It matches the Rfam family "Bacterial small subunit ribosomal RNA", at positions 524 to 776 of the family's 1533-position model. The record is from RNAcentral.
UACGUAGGGUGCGAGCGUUAAUCGGAAUUACUGGGCGUAAAGCGUGCGCAGGCGGUUUUGUAAGCCAGAUGUGAAAUCCCCGGGCUUAACCUGGGAAUGGCAUUUGGGACUGCAAGGCUGGAGUACGGCAGAGGAUGGCGGAAUUCCCGGUGUAGCAGUGAAAUGCGUAGGGAUCGGGAGGAACAUCUGUGGCGAAGGCGGCCAUCUGGACCAGCACUGACACUCAAGCACGAAAGCGUGGGGAGCAAACAGG